This 491-nucleotide ribosomal RNA is filed under the name uncultured bacterium. RNAcentral describes it as "partial 16S ribosomal RNA". It matches the Rfam family "Bacterial small subunit ribosomal RNA", at positions 29 to 507 of the family's 1533-position model. The record is from RNAcentral.
UUGAACGCUGGCGGCAUGCUUUACACAUGCAAGUCGAACGGUAACAGGCCUUCGGGUGCUGACGAGUGGCGAACGGGUGAGUAAUGCAUCGGAACGUACCCAGAGGUGGGGGAUAACGCAGCGAAAGCUGUGCUAAUACCGCAUGUGAUCUGAGGAUGAAAGCGGGGGACCGAGCAGCAAUGUUUGGCCUCGCGCCUUUGGAGCGGCCGAUGUCGGAUUAGCUAGUUGGUGGGGUAAAGGCCUACCAAGGCGACGAUCCGUAGCUGGUCUGAGAGGACGACCAGCCACACUGGGACUGAGACACGGCCCAGACUCCUACGGGAGGCAGCAGUGGGGAAUUUUGAACAAUGGGCGCAAGCCUGAUCCAGCAAUGCCGCGUGCGGGAAGAAGGCCUUCGGGUUGUAAACCGCUUUUGGCAGGAACGAAACGGUGUCCGCUAAUACCGGGCGCUAAUGACGGUACCUGCAGAAUAAGCACCGGCUAACUACGUG